UUGAUCCUGGCUCAGGACGAACGCUGGCGGCGCGCCUAACACAUGCAAGUCGAACGAGCGAGAGAGAGCUUGCUUUCUCGAGCGAGUGGCGAACGGGUGAGUAACGCGUGAGGAACCUGCCUCAAAGAGGGGGACAACAGUUGGAAACGACUGCUAAUACCGCAUAAGCCCACGGGUCGGCAUCGACCAGAGGGAAAAGGAGCAAUCCGCUUUGAGAUGGCCUCGCGUCCGAUUAGCUAGUUGGUGAGGUAACGGCCCACCAAGGCAACGAUCGGUAGCCGGACUGAGAGGUUGAACGGCCACAUUGGGACUGAGACACGGCCCAGACUCCUACGGGAGGCAGCAGUGGGGAAUAUUGCACAAUGGGGGAAACCCUGAUGCAGCGACGCCGCGUGGAGGAAGAAGGUCUUCGGAUUGUAAACUCCUGUUGUUGAGGAAGAUAAUGACGGUACUCAACAAGGAAGUGACGGCUAACUACGUGCCAGCAGCCGCGGUAAAACGUAGGUCACAAGCGUUGUCCGGAAUUACUGGGUGUAAAGGGAGCGCAGGCGGGAGAACAAGUUGGAAGUGAAAUCCAUGGGCUCAACCCAUGAACUGCUUUCAAAACUGUUUUUCUUGAGUAGUGCAGAGGUAGGCGGAAUUCCCGGUGUAGCGGUGGAAUGCGUAGAUAUCGGGAGGAACACCAGUGGCGAAGGCGGCCUACUGGGCACCAACUGACGCUGAGGCUCGAAAGUGUGGGUAGCAAACAGGAUUAGAUACCCUGGUAGUCCACAUCGUAAACGAUGAUUACUAGGUGUUGGAGGAUUGACCCCUUCAGUGCCGCAGUUAACACAAUAAGUAAUCCACCUGGGGAGUACGACCGCAAGGUUGAAACUCAAAGGAAUUGACGGGGGCCCGCACAAGCAGUGGAGUAUGUGGUUUAAUUCGACGCAACGCGAAGAACCUUACCAAGUCUUGACAUCCCUUGACGAUGCUGGAAACAGUAUUUCUCUUCGGAGCAAGGAGACAGGUGGUGCAUGGUUGUCGUCAGCUCGUGUCGUGAGAUGUUGGGUUAAGUCCCGCAACGAGCGCAACCCUUAUGGUCAGUUACUACGCAAGAGGACUCUGGCCAGACUGCCGUUGACAAAACGGAGGAAGGUGGGGAUGACGUCAAAUCAUCAUGCCCUUUAUGACUUGGGCUACACACGUACUACAAUGGCGUUAAACAAAGAGAAGCAAGACCGCGAGGUGGAGCAAAACUUAGAAACAACGUCCCAGUUCGGACUGCAGGCUGCAACUCGCCUGCACGAAGUCGGAAUUGCUAGUAAUCGUGGAUCAGCAUGCCACGGUGAAUACGUUCCCGGGCCUUGCACUCACCGCCCGUCA
RNAcentral lists this ribosomal RNA (1365 nucleotides) under uncultured bacterium. Its description in RNAcentral is "bacterial SSU rRNA". It matches the Rfam family "Bacterial small subunit ribosomal RNA". The record is from RNAcentral.